This 449-nucleotide ribosomal RNA is filed under the name uncultured bacterium. RNAcentral describes it as "partial 16S ribosomal RNA". It matches the Rfam family "Bacterial small subunit ribosomal RNA", at positions 29 to 523 of the family's 1533-position model. The record is from RNAcentral.
AGCGAACGCUGGCGGCAGGCCUAACACAUGCAAGUCGAACGAACUCUUCGGAGUUAGUGGCGGACGGGUGAGUAACACGUGGGAACGUGCCUUUAGGUUCGGAAUAACUCAGGGAAACUUGUGCUAAUACCGAAUGUGCCCUUCGGGGGAAAGAUUUAUCGCCUUUAGAGCGGCCCGCGUCUGAUUAGCUAGUUGGUGAGGUAAAGGCUCACCAAGGCGACGAUCAGUAGCUGGUCUGAGAGGAUGAUCAGCCACAUUGGGACUGAGACACGGCCCAAACUCCUACGGGAGGCAGCAGUGGGGAAUCUUGCGCAAUGGGCGAAAGCCUGACGCAGCCAUGCCGCGUGAAUGAUGAAGGUCUUAGGAUUGUAAAAUUCUUUCACCGGGGACGAUAAUGACGGUACCCGGAGAAGAAGCCCCGGCUAACUUCGUGUCAGCAGCCGCGGUAA